This 385-nucleotide ribosomal RNA is filed under the name bacterium enrichment culture clone ALO1_GLFRUDD03GVKAC. RNAcentral's name for it is "bacterial SSU rRNA". It matches the Rfam family "Bacterial small subunit ribosomal RNA", at positions 9 to 394 of the family's 1533-position model. The record is from RNAcentral.
GAGUUUGAUCGUGGCUCAGAUUGAACGCUGGCGGCAUGCCUUACACAUGCAAGUCGAACGGCAGCACGGGAGCUUGCUCCUGGUGGCGAGUGGCGAACGGGUGAGUAAUGCAUCGGAACGUAUCCUGGAGUGGGGGAUAACGUAGCGAAAGUUACGCUAAUACCGCAUAUUCUGUGAGCAGGAAAGCGGGGGACCUUCGGGCCUCGCGCUCUUGGAGCGGCCGAUGUCGGAUUAGCUAGUUGGUGAGGUAAAGGCUCACCAAGGCGACGAUCCGUAGCAGGUCUGAGAGGAUGAUCUGCCACACUGGAACUGAGACACGGUCCAGACUCCUACGGGAGGCAGCAGUGGGGAAUUUUGGACAAUGGGGGCAACCCUGAUCCAGCCA